This 465-nucleotide ribosomal RNA is filed under the name uncultured bacterium. RNAcentral describes it as "partial 16S ribosomal RNA". It matches the Rfam family "Bacterial small subunit ribosomal RNA", at positions 28 to 507 of the family's 1533-position model. The record is from RNAcentral.
GACGAACGCUGGCGGCGUGCUUAACACAUGCAAGUCGAACGGAAAGGCCCUGCUUUCCGUGUACUCGAGUGACCAACGGGCGGGUAACUCGCGGGUGAUCUGCCCUCCACUUCGGGAUAAGCAUGGUAAACUGGGUCUAAUACCUGACAGGAGCCAUUUUUAGACUGAUGGUUGGAAAGUUUUUUCGGUGUAUGAUGAGCUCGCGGCCUAUCAGCUUGUUGGUGUGGUAAUGGCCUACCAAAGCGGCGACGGGUAGCCGGCCUGAGAGGGUGGACGGCGACAUUGGGACUGAGGGACGGCCCAGACUCCUAAGGGAGGCAGAAGUGGGGAAUAUUGCCCAAUGAGCGCAAGCCUGUUGAAGCGGGGCUGCGUGGGGGAUGACGGCCUUAGGGUUGAAAACGCAUUUCGCUAGGGACGAAGCUUUUUGUGACGGUACCUAGACAGAAAGCAACGGCUAACUACGUG